This 378-nucleotide ribosomal RNA is filed under the name uncultured archaeon. RNAcentral's name for it is "bacterial SSU rRNA". It matches the Rfam family "Archaeal small subunit ribosomal RNA", at positions 345 to 727 of the family's 1478-position model. The record is from RNAcentral.
AAACUUUGCAAUGCGGGAAACCGUGACAAGGGAACUCCAAGUGCCCGUAAAAUCGGGCUGUUAAUCUGUUUAAAUAGCAGGUUGAGAAAGGGCCGGGCAAGACCGGUGCCAGCCGCCGCGGUAAUACCGGCGGCUCGAGUGGUGGCCACUAUUACUGGGCUUAAAGCGUUCGUAGCUGGUCUGUUAAGUCUCUGGGGAAAUCUGCCGGCUUAACCGGCGGGCGUCUCAGGGAUACUGGUAGACUAGGGACCGGAAGAGGUGAGAGGUACUCCAGGGGUAGGAGUGAAAUCCUGUAAUCCUUGGGGGACCACCUGUGGCGAAGGCGUCUCACCAGAACGGCUCCGACAGUGAGGGACGAAAGCUGGGGGAGCAAACCGG